RNAcentral lists this ribosomal RNA (813 nucleotides) under uncultured bacterium. RNAcentral's name for it is "bacterial SSU rRNA". It matches the Rfam family "Bacterial small subunit ribosomal RNA", at positions 8 to 821 of the family's 1533-position model. The record is from RNAcentral.
AGAGUUUGAUCCUGGCUCAGGAUGAACGCUGGCGGCGUGCUUAACACAUGCAAGUCGAGCGAAGCACUCGGCCUUGAAUCUUCGGAGGAAAGGCGGUUUGACUGAGCGGCGGACGGGUGAGUAACGCGUGGGCAACCUGCCCCAUACGGGGGGAUAACAGUUAGAAAUGACUGCUAAUACCGCAUAAGACCGCGGUGCCGCAUGGCACAGCGGUAAAAACUCCGGUGGUAUGGGAUGGGCCCGCGUCUGAUUAGCUAGUUGGCGGGGUAACGGCCCACCAAGGCGACGAUCAGUAGCCGACCUGAGAGGGCGACCGGCCACAUUGGGACUGAGACACGGCCCAAACUCCUACGGGAGGCAGCAGUGGGGAAUAUUGCACAAUGGGGGAAACCCUGAUGCAGCGACGCCGCGUGAGCGAUGAAGUAUUUCGGUAUGUAAAGCUCUAUCAGCAGGGAAGAAGAUGACGGUACCUGACUAAGAAGCCCCGGCUAACUACGUGCCAGCAGCCGCGGUAAUACGUAGGGGGCAAGCGUUAUCCGGAUUUACUGGGUGUAAAGGGAGCGUAGACGGCGAUGCAAGCCAGAUGUGAAAGCCCGGGGCUCAACCCCGGGACUGCAUUUGGAACUGUGUGGCUGGAGUGUCGGAGAGGCAGGCGGAAUUCCUAGUGUAGCGGUGAAAUGCGUAGAUAUUGGGAGGAACACCAGUGGCGAAGGCGGCCUGCUGGACGAUGACUGACGCUGAGGCUCGAAAGCGUGGGGAGCAAACAAGAUUAGAUCCCCUGGUAGUCCACGCCGUAAACGAUGACUGCUAGGU